GUCCACGCCGUAAACGAUGGGCACUAGGUCCUUGGGGGAGCGACCCCGUGAGGGCCGGCGCUAACGCAUUAAGUGCCCCGCCUGGGGAGUACGGCCGCAAGGCUGAAACUCAAAGGAAUUGACGGGGGCCCCGCACAAGCGGUGGAGCAUGUGGUUUAAUUCGACGCAACGCGAAGAACCUUACCUAGGCUUGACAUGGCCGGGAAAGCGCGGGGAAACCUGCGCCCCUCUUCGGAGUCCGGUCACAGGUGCUGCAUGGCUGUCGU
RNAcentral lists this ribosomal RNA (266 nucleotides) under uncultured bacterium. RNAcentral's name for it is "partial 16S ribosomal RNA". It matches the Rfam family "Bacterial small subunit ribosomal RNA", at positions 793 to 1055 of the family's 1533-position model. The record is from RNAcentral.